RNAcentral lists this ribosomal RNA (228 nucleotides) under uncultured Gemella sp. RNAcentral describes it as "partial 16S ribosomal RNA". It matches the Rfam family "Bacterial small subunit ribosomal RNA", at positions 132 to 356 of the family's 1533-position model. Lineage: Bacteria; Bacillati; Bacillota; Bacilli; Caryophanales; Gemellaceae. The record is from RNAcentral.
GGUUAAACGGGAAAACGUAAGUACGUAACUAACUACGUAUAAGAAAGAAACUCGCAUGAGAGAAAAUCGAAAGUCGGAGCAAUCUGACACUAUAAGAUGGCUUUGCGGUGCAUUAGCUAGUUGGUAGGGUAAAAGCCUACCAAGGCGACGAUGCAUAGCCGACCUGAGAGGGUGAUCGGCCACAUUGGGACUGAGACACGGCCCAGACUCCUACGGGAGGCAGCAGCG